CCUUAACAGUUCGUUGAUGAUGCUUUCGAUGCGACCCCAGGUCAGGCGGGACUACCCGCUGAGUUUAAGCAUAUCAAUAAGC
Molecule: ribosomal RNA, 82 nt
Filed under: Elatostema parvum var. parvum
Lineage: Eukaryota; Viridiplantae; Streptophyta; Magnoliopsida; Rosales; Urticaceae
Description: partial 28S ribosomal RNA
Source: RNAcentral